This 251-nucleotide ribosomal RNA is filed under the name uncultured bacterium. RNAcentral's name for it is "partial 16S ribosomal RNA". It matches the Rfam family "Bacterial small subunit ribosomal RNA", at positions 525 to 775 of the family's 1533-position model. The record is from RNAcentral.
ACGGAGGGUGCAAGCGUUAAUCGGAAUAACUGGGCGUAAAGGGCAUGCAGGCGGUUCAUCAAGUAGGAUGUGAAAUCCCCGGGCUCAACCUGGGAACAGCAUACUAAACUGGUGGACUAGAGUAUUGCAGGGGGAGACGGAAUUCCAGGUGUAGCGGUGGAAUGCGUAGAUAUCUGGAAGAACACCAAAGGCGAAGGCAGUCUCCUGGGCAAAUACUGACGCUCAUAUGCGAAAGCGUGGGUAGCAAACAG